GAGAGAGAGAGAGAGAGCAGCGCGUGACAGAUGGGAUCGGGGGAAGCGGUGUGAACUGUGAAGCGAUGCAUUUUUUGUUUUACCUAUUUUGCAUCUAUACGGCUGUACCAUUCAUCCCUUUUCUAUUCUCGUUCUCCUCCCAUUCCUUUUUCUCUGUUUAGAUCCUGCAAGGGAGGAGUAUGGGGUGAGAAGGGGGAUUUGCGGCAGACUGUGGUGGUUGCAGGCUCUCGGCUGCGGCAGGUCCUCCAGCUCGAGUACACGUGCCUGCUGCUCGCCGGCACCGCCGACUUGAUGGCCGUGGAGCUCGCCCCCUUGAACCUGAGCGGUGGCUCUCCUCCAGACAGUCCACAGGAGGAGGCAAGUUGAGGGCUUCCUAGUUGCUACUACUGUCAGCUUCAACCUAUGCAAUGUGUUACAACUUUGCAUCAUUCCUACUUCAUGCACACCGGCUGAUUCUUCACAG
Molecule: ribosomal RNA, 463 nt
Filed under: Triticum aestivum (bread wheat)
Lineage: Eukaryota; Viridiplantae; Streptophyta; Magnoliopsida; Poales; Poaceae
Description: partial small subunit ribosomal RNA
Source: RNAcentral